CCUCCCCUUAGCGAGGCUGCUGGGAAGAGGACUCAGGACCUCGGGGUUUGAGGCCUGCCUUGUGCUGUCGGCCAGCAGCUCGCGGGCCCUUCGGGAGGGAGAGGACACCUGGGCCGCUGAGCAGACUCUCACCGCACCCUCGAGGCCUGCCCUCCCGGGGACCCGAGGAGCUGAUCCCCUCCCGUGCGCGGCCUGCGCCAGCCGCCAGCCGGAGCCAGUGGGUUAAGGAGAUGAGUAAAGGAGGGCGUGGAGCCUCAGCUUGGCCGCAGGGAAUGAAAUGUGAAGCACAUAACAUUUUGCAUCUACUCAAAGAAGACUGAGAUUGGCUGACAGGUCUCAUCUUUUCUGGAGGGGAAAACUUGUCCAGAGCUUGGUUGCCUCCCAAGAGAGUCCACCCAGAGUCCUAGAAAACAAUGUUGCUAAACUGAAAGGGAUUGGGAGUGGAGGAACAGACAAGUCCAACAGCAGCAAGGUCCAUGAAGAAUGUGCUGCCGGAAGUGUUUCUGAGAUUCAGCUGCUCCUGAAGUUGAAGAAAAGCACAUCUGGGAGGAGAAAUAUGUCGCCAACUCUGUGGUCCUUUGGAGAACUUAAGACCCUUGAGUCUGUAACCUUGGAAGCAAGAUUGGGAUCCAGUAAAACUGAGGUCAAGUGCUGGGGCAGAAUAACUUGAAUGGUUAAGGUGGAAAAGGCUGUGGGUAAUGUGCGCUGCUCUGCUCCCAGCUCUGCUCGAACUCCCUCUUCAAUGCCCAGGGGUAUCCAACCGCAGCCCUACCGGGAUACCCUGAAGCCAGAUGCUCCCCAAUUCUCCUCACCUACACAACAACCUUCAUGCAGUUCUAAGAAUCACAACAGGAACGUGCAGCCGCUCCUGUGAACUUACACGGAUGUUCUCAGAUUGCUAAUGUGACAUCUAGACAGAAAUUCACAUAUAUUAGGAUAUCAGAUGGGCAGCCCCGGUGGCUCAGCAGUUUAGCACCACCUUCAGCCCAGGGCCUGAUCCUGGGGA
Long non-coding RNA from Canis lupus familiaris (dog), 1006 nucleotides. RefSeq lists it as uncharacterized. The transcript has 6 exons. NCBI's taxonomy places the organism in Eukaryota, Metazoa, Chordata, Mammalia, Carnivora, Canidae. The record is from RefSeq and is a predicted model, not a curated record.